Molecule: ribosomal RNA, 270 nt
Filed under: uncultured Eubacteriales bacterium
Lineage: Bacteria; Bacillati; Bacillota; Clostridia; Eubacteriales
Description: uncultured Clostridiales bacterium partial 16S ribosomal RNA
Rfam family: Bacterial small subunit ribosomal RNA
Source: RNAcentral
AGUCGGCCCCGCAAGGGACUGACUUAGUGGCGAACGGGUGAGUAACGCGUGAGCAACCUGCCUUUCAGUGGGGGACAACAGUUGGAAACGACUGCUAAUACCGCAUGACACAUAGGUGUCGCAUGGCACUUAUGUCAAAGAUUUAUCGCUGAAAGAUGGCCUCGCGUCUGAUUAGCUAGUUGGUGAGGUAACGGCCCACCAAGCCGACGAUCGGUAGCCGACCUGAGAGGGUGACCGGCCACAUUGGGACUGAGACACGGCCCAAACUCC